RNAcentral lists this ribosomal RNA (2501 nucleotides) under Salmonella enterica subsp. enterica serovar Miami. RNAcentral describes it as "partial 23S ribosomal RNA". It matches the Rfam family "Bacterial large subunit ribosomal RNA", at positions 448 to 2925 of the family's 2925-position model. The record is from RNAcentral. Lineage: Bacteria; Pseudomonadati; Pseudomonadota; Gammaproteobacteria; Enterobacterales; Enterobacteriaceae.
GGGGACCAUCCUCCAAGGCUAAAUACUCCUGACUGACCGAUAGUGAACCAGUACCGUGAGGGAAAGGCGAAAAGAACCCCGGCGAGGGGAGUGAAAAAGAACCUGAAACCGUGUACGUACAAGCAGUGGGAGCACCCUUUGGGGUGUGACUGCGUACCUUUUGUAUAAUGGGUCAGCGACUUAUAUUCUGUAGCAAGGUUAACCGAAUAGGGGAGCCGGAGGGAAACCGAGUCUUAAUUGGGCGUUAAGUUGCAGGGUAUAGACCCGAAACCCGGUGAUCUAGCCAUGGGCAGGUUGAAGGUUGGGUAACACUAACUGGAGGACCGAACCGACUAAUGUUGAAAAAUUAGCGGAUGACCUGUGGCUGGGGGUGAAAGGCCAAUCAAACCGGGAGAUAGCUGGUUCUCCCCGAAAGCUAUUUAGGUAGCGCCUCGUGAAUUCAUCUCCGGGGGUAGAGCACUGUUUCGGCUAGGGGGCCAUCCCGGCUUACCAACCCGAUGCAAACUGCGAAUACCGGAGAAUGUUAUCACGGGAGACACACGGCGGGUGCUAACGUCCGUCGUGAAGAGGGAAACAACCCAGACCGCCAGCUAAGGUCCCAAAGUCAUGGUUAAGUGGGAAACGAUGUGGGAAGGCCCAGACAGCCAGGAUGUUGGCUUAGAAGCAGCCAUCAUUUAAAGAAAGCGUAAUAGCUCACUGGUCGAGUCGGCCUGCGCGGAAGAUGUAACGGGGCUAAACCAUGCACCGAAGCUGCGGCAGCGACACUAUGUGUUGUUGGGUAGGGGAGCGUUCUGUAAGCCUGCGAAGGUGGCCUGUGAGGGUUGCUGGAGGUAUCAGAAGUGCGAAUGCUGACAUAAGUAACGAUAAAGCGGGUGAAAAGCCCGCUCGCCGGAAGACCAAGGGUUCCUGUCCAACGUUAAUCGGGGCAGGGUGAGUCGACCCCUAAGGCGAGGCCGAAAGGCGUAGUCGAUGGGAAACGGGUUAAUAUUCCCGUACUUGGUGUUACUGCGAAGGGGGGACGGAGAAGGCUAUGUUGGCCGGGCGACGGUUGUCCCGGUUUAAGCGUGUAGGUGUGUGUUCCAGGUAAAUCCGGUUCACUUUAACACUGAGGCGUGACGACGAGGCACUACGGUGCUGAAGCAACAAAUGCCCUGCUUCCAGGAAAAGCCUCUAAGCAUCAGGUAACAUCAAAUCGUACCCCAAACCGACACAGGUGGUCAGGUAGAGAAUACCAAGGCGCUUGAGAGAACUCGGGUGAAGGAACUAGGCAAAAUGGUGCCGUAACUUCGGGAGAAGGCACGCUGACACGUAGGUGAAGUGAUUUACUCACGGAGCUGAAGUCAGUCGAAGAUACCAGCUGGCUGCAACUGUUUAUUAAAAACACAGCACUGUGCAAACACGAAAGUGGACGUAUACGGUGUGACGCCUGCCCGGUGCCGGAAGGUUAAUUGAUGGGGUCAGCGCAAGCGAAGCUCCUGAUCGAAGCCCCGGUAAACGGCGGCCGUAACUAUAACGGUCCUAAGGUAGCGAAAUUCCUUGUCGGGUAAGUUCCGACCUGCACGAAUGGCGUAAUGAUGGCCAGGCUGUCUCCACCCGAGACUCAGUGAAAUUGAACUCGCUGUGAAGAUGCAGUGUACCCGCGGCAAGACGGAAAGACCCCGUGAACCUUUACUAUAGCUUGACACUGAACAUUGAGCCUUGAUGUGUAGGAUAGGUGGGAGGCUUUGAAGCGUGGACGCCAGUCUGCGUGGAGCCGACCUUGAAAUACCACCCUUUAAUGUUUGAUGUUCUAACGUGGACCCGUGAUCCGGGUUGCGGACAGUGUCUGGUGGGUAGUUUGACUGGGGCGGUCUCCUCCUAAAGAGUAACGGAGGAGCACGAAGGUUGGCUAAUCCUGGUCGGACAUCAGGAGGUUAGUGCAAUGGCAUAAGCCAGCUUGACUGCGAGCGUGACGGCGCGAGCAGGUGCGAAAGCAGGUCAUAGUGAUCCGGUGGUUCUGAAUGGAAGGGCCAUCGCUCAACGGAUAAAAGGUACUCCGGGGAUAACAGGCUGAUACCGCCCAAGAGUUCAUAUCGACGGCGGUGUUUGGCACCUCGAUGUCGGCUCAUCACAUCCUGGGGCUGAAGUAGGUCCCAAGGGUAUGGCUGUUCGCCAUUUAAAGUGGUACGCGAGCUGGGUUUAGAACGUCGUGAGACAGUUCGGUCCCUAUCUGCCGUGGGCGCUGGAGAACUGAGGGGGGCUGCUCCUAGUACGAGAGGACCGGAGUGGACGCAUCACUGGUGUUCGGGUUGUCAUGCCAAUGGCACUGCCCGGUAGCUAAAUGCGGAAGAGAUAAGUGCUGAAAGCAUCUAAGCACGAAACUUGCCCCGAGAUGAGUUCUCCCUGAGACUUUAGGUCUCCUGAAGGAACGUUGAAGACGACGACGUUGAUAGGCCGGGUGUGUAAGCGCAGCGAUGCGUUGAGCUAACCGGUACUAAUGAACCGUGAGGCUUAACCUUACA